RNAcentral lists this transfer RNA (75 nucleotides) under Prototheca wickerhamii. RNAcentral describes it as "tRNA-Met". It matches the Rfam family "tRNA". Rfam says of the family: Transfer RNA (tRNA) molecules are approximately 80 nucleotides in length. Their secondary structure includes four short double-helical elements and three loops (D, anti-codon, and T loops). The record is from RNAcentral. Lineage: Eukaryota; Viridiplantae; Chlorophyta; Trebouxiophyceae; Chlorellales; Chlorellaceae.
AGUGGGAUGGAGCAGUCUGGGUAGCUCGUAAGGCUCAUAAUCUUAAGGUCAUAGGUUCAAAUCCUAUUCCCGCUA